GUGGCACGUUGCGGGCACGUAAUGUCAUUACCAAUAAAAAAACUUUGUGCGCUCAAGUUCAGAACAGCGCGUGCACAGCUGAGCUGUUAACAGGAGGACCGACAGUUUCUCCGAAAAUGACGUCUGACAGCAGUGACAACGCUUUUGUGAAGGGCUUCUGUACUGACAGGAAUCUGACAGGAAAUUUCGUUUUAUCAGUGUUAUUCUCUCUCGUCACCCACAGCAGUCACUGAAGCCCUUCAUAAGAAAUCUAAAGUCUUUCUCCUAUAAAAGCUGAGGUAACAAACACAGUAUGAGCUGAAUCCUCAAGUGCUCAGUAAUGUGCUUCUGGAUCUCCUUCCACCUUUUUAGUUGAUAAAAGUGUCCUUUGA
Long non-coding RNA from Triplophysa rosa, 371 nucleotides. RefSeq lists it as uncharacterized. Lineage: Eukaryota; Metazoa; Chordata; Actinopteri; Cypriniformes; Nemacheilidae. The transcript is spliced from 3 exons. The record is from RefSeq and is a predicted model, not a curated record.